Molecule: RNA transcript, 1958 nt
Organism: Rhododendron vialii
Lineage: Eukaryota; Viridiplantae; Streptophyta; Magnoliopsida; Ericales; Ericaceae
Gene name: F-box protein CPR1-like
Exons: 3
Source: RefSeq, a predicted model, not a curated record
AUGCCGAACCUUCCCGACGAGAUCAUCUUCGACAUACUCUCUCGACUCCCCGUCGUCUCCCUCUGCAGAUUCAGGUGCGUUUCCAAACCAUGGCGAUCUCUAAUCUCCCACCCUCAUUUCAUCCGAACUCAAAUCGCUAACAACAAACACGAGCGUGUGAUUCUUCGGCGCGAUGACAACCUAUACUCCGUGGACUUGGAAUCGUCUCAAUUUGGUGAUAAAUCGGUGCAAGCAAUCCUGAAAAUCCCAACCGAGUACCUAGGUUUCGACGUCUACGGUUCGUGUGAUGGCUUGUUAUUGAUUGGCGAUUAUUUAGGCGUCCAUUACUAUUUGGCUAACCCGUCCACUAGAGAAUUUAGAAAAUUACCGCCAUCUCCUUUUAAACUCCACUCUUGGAACUUUCUCAAUUUUUACGGGUUUGGUUACGACUCACGGAGCCACGAUUUCAAAGUUGUAAGUAUUUCUCGUUACAGCAGGGACUCAGCUGAUUGCGUAGUCAGUUUAUAUGCCUUGAGGACCAAUUCUUGGAAAAAGAUUGAGUACUCUCCUUGUGGCCAUUCGGUCAUGGGAGAUAAUUCUGGGGUUCUUGUUAGCGGGGCACUCCACUGGUUUGCGAGAACUAGUAUGAGUACGGUUAUUCUUGCAGUUGAUUUAGCAGUUGAAAAAAUUCGCACCAUUCCAACUUUGGAUUGUACGGGUUUUGAUCUUUUUGUUCAUGGAGGGUGCCUUUGGGUGAAAGCUAAGUUCUAUGAUAGUAGUCGUGCAGAUUUUUGGGUGAUGAAAGAGUAUGGUGUUGGUGAAUCUUGGACUAAAUUUACAGUCACUUACGAUAGAUUUCAUAAUUGGAGACCCUUGAGUUCAUUAAGCGCUGACCGAGUUUUGUUCCGUGUAAACAACAAAAAGUUGGUUCUCUAUGAUCCGCAGGAAGAAAAAUCCAAGGAGCUAGUGGUUCACGGCCUUCCAAUUGAUUUUGUUGGAGGAACUUAUGUGGAGAGCCUUGUUUCACCCAAUGGGCAAUGCUAAGAAUCACAACAAACUAACUUCUAGAUAUGGACAGGUACUAUGUAUGAACUUAGCUGUAUUUUUUCAUUUCUUCUGGAUAUGGUCAAGUAAUAUAUAUAUAUUCGUUGAGGACAAAUUCUUGGAAAAAGAUUGAGAACUUGCCUUAUGAUCAUUCAAGUAAUGGACAUAAAUACGUUUAAGUUAGUGGGGCACACUGCAUUGGUUUGCUAGAACUAAUACGUUUAAGUUAUUGCUGCACUUGAUUUAGCAGAUGAAGAUUUUUGUACUGUGCCAUCCGUGGAUUGUAAGGGUGACGAACUUACUGUUCUUGGAGGGUGCCUUUGUGUGUGGGUUAAGUGGUGUAAUGAUUAUCAGGCAGAUGUUUGGGUGAUGAAAGAGUUUGGUGUCAGUGAUUCUUGGACUAAAUUUAUGAUCCUUUGUGAUAGUUUUCCAGAUUCUUGGAAACCCUUGAGUUCAUCAAGGACUGGCUGAGUUUUGUUCAAAUUACAUCGAAAAGUUAGUUGUCUUUGAUCGGCAUGAGGAAAAAUAAUAGGCAAUGCUAAGAAUCACAAAAAACUAACUUCUAGAUAUGGGCAGUUUGUAUUUCCAUUGAAAUAAACUGACCGUAGGGCUUCGUCCGACUAACUAAGCUUGCAUGAGCUAUGGUGCUUGGGGUAAAAUGUGCCUCCGGUUUCAAGGAUCAAUUAUUUAACCGUUCUACCAAAACUGAUUGCUCGUGGAGAGAGAGAAAGAGACAUGGAGAGUUGUGGGUUGCAGCUGAAUAGAAAUGAAAAAGUGAGAGUUGUGCAAAUGUUAGUUUGGAUUUACUCUGUACAAGAAUUUGUUUCAAGUCGGUAUCUCAUAUUGGUUUUUUGUUUUAGAAGGGACUGUUAAUUGACCUGCAUAUUGAACGCCAUCUCCCUCUCGUCUUAUCAAAUGUGUGUGGAUUAUAGCUU